Molecule: long non-coding RNA, 251 nt
Organism: Tupaia belangeri chinensis (Chinese tree shrew)
Lineage: Eukaryota; Metazoa; Chordata; Mammalia; Scandentia; Tupaiidae
Exons: 3
Source: RefSeq, a predicted model, not a curated record
CGUGCCCAGCCCCGCCCCGCUUGCUCCCAGAUCCCCUUGCGCCUGCUGUAGUGCGUUGUGCCGGCCAAUCAGCGAGCGCGGGGCGUGGUCAGCGUGAAGAAAAAUUGGAGAAGAAAAUGUAAUAGAUAUAAACAUUUACUGAAGAUUUUAGUAGGUGGAUACAGCAAGUCAGAACACUUUCCAAAGCUAACCUAUAAGGACACGUUUAGUUCGAGAAAUAUGAGGUCUAAAGUCAGGUAGAUACCCAGAUG